GCUUGUUGCGUUGGAAGGUUAUUUCCAGGAGUAAUGCUAAUAUCAAUAAGGCCCUUUAAAAAUGAACUAAAGCAACUUGGAAAGUAUUGCUUUCCCUCUCAACCACUCUUCGUAUCUCCCCGGAAGUGGCUCUGUUUGUCCUGAAUCCUGGAAGUGUCUCUGAAUCCUGCAAGGAUUGAAAUGAUUGUCCUCAUACCUGCAAAAUAUUCCUGCACAACGCGUGCAAACGAUUUGACCUAGUUCUUGGGCCUCACCUAGAAGCUCCUGCAUGAGAGGAUCAAAUCCAUCUGCAUUACGGCAUCCUCAAGGGUCUUUGGGAAAGGCCUAUAGAAUACUUUGCUGAAGACAUUUGUUAACUGGCCACAGACCCUGAGUGGCAAAAACAGUGUGCUUGUCAGCUGGGAAAAGCCCCUCCAAAAAUCAGCAGAGACAAGCAAGGCAACCUCCAUGUGAAGCUUGAUUAGGACAUGGCUUGUAUUUCGGACGAUAAACUCUAUUUAUGAUGGCCUCCCGGUCAUUAAGUAUCUCCGCUGUAAGAGAAAAUUGGGGCUAUUAACUUCUCCAGAUAGAGCCAGGGGGAAGAGCGAUCAUUUCUUUUAUAAGCAGAAGGGAAGGCUCUGCUCAAUAAAGAUCAAUUAAACAUCUCUGUUAAAAGGCUGCUUGGGAGCUGGUGCCGAUAGAAAUUCCACCGUAUUAACCCUUGCUCUCUCGUUCCCGCCAGCCCUCCCCACCUCUGUAUCUGGAAUUGCGGAAAAUUUUAAGAGAACGUGGGCGACUGUAAGCUCUCUAAGGUGACAGUGGCUCUCACAUCCUUGGCUCAAUGAUCUCUGAUGUUGAGUGACUUUCCAUGCAUUUAGCGGGAGCAUCUCCAGAGGACAGCAGGCAAGUCAACACUCCUCUGGAUUCAGCUGAGCAUCAAUCUUCCUCAUGAGGGAGUAAAAAAAAAAAAAAAACAUAGAAACAGGUGCCCCAAAAGAUUACUUGGUGGUCAGAGCUCUGAAUUCCCAGGAUGCAGGAAGAGUUUUGGGGGCCCUUGGUGGUCCACUGCAUAAAGAACACAGUCCGAGGUCCCCCGCAAUCUCCACCAACACCUUACAUUUACGAUUUCAUUCUAGUCCUUUAAAAUACCACGCACUUCUAUUCUCUGGCCUACACUGUGUCCUCUGAUGGAAAUACCAUCUUUUCUCGGUGAGAAUUAACUGCCCUGCUUUCUGAGCUACCGUACGGUUUUCUUACACUGCAGUUACAAUAUGUGCCUGACAGUUAAUUUUUCAAACUUACGUCCCUCAUCCAAGAUGUAAACCCCAGUAACUGGUUUGAUGCUUUGCACAUGUCAAGUGUGUUGAAAUAAGCCUGCAGUUGGUCUUGGACAAACAUUAUUGCAGUCAACAUGUUGAUAACCACAGUCCUGAAAGGUGGGCUGUGUGCAUGGCCUAAGUCAUGGGAUAAUCCAGCCAGGCUGAAUGAAAAUGGCUCUAAGGGGACACAUCCAUCUAUACUUAAACCCAGAAAUUGUUAAACUUAAAAAUCUCCAGCAGUAACUUAGACAUUAAAGCCCUGGGCCUCUCUGUAAUAGUUUUCUAGUGCUGUGUAACAAAUUAGUACAAACUGAGCAGUCUGCCGUACAUAACUAUUAUCUCGCAGUUUCUGUAGGUCGGAAGUCCAGGCACAGCGUGGCUGGAUUCUCUGCUCUGCUGGGGUCUCACCCACUUGAUGUCAACGUGUCGGCCAGGGCUCGGUGUUCAUCUGGGGCUGGGCGUUCUCUUCCAAGCUUACUAGUUGUUGGAAGACUUAUUUCCUUAUGGUUGUAGGACUGAGGAUUCCUUUCCUUCCUGGCCAUCAGCCAGCCAGGGUCCUCUCAGCUCCUAGAGAUGACCCACUUUUCUUGCUAUGUGGCCCCCUCCAUGUCUAAAGCCAGCAGUGGAGACUCUUGCCCCACCUGGCAUCUUCUCAUUUUGAUUCUCUCUGACUCUUCUGUCUCUGACUUCUAGACUUGGGUUUAAAGGGCUCAGCUGUUUUGAUCAGGCCCAUUAGGAUGAUUGCUUCCUCUUAAGGUCAACUGAUUCGGGGCCUUAAUUACAUCUGCAAAAAUCCCUGCAGAGUAGCCUUAAAUUAGUGUGUGACUGGGUAAUUGGAAGGAGGUGCCUAUUCGCCAGGGGAUGGAACACGUGGAGGCCAUCUUAGAAUUCCACACUCACCAAUCAGCUGAGGUGAAAGCUUUGCUUGUCUGCCUCUGCCUGACCUCCUAAUGUCCUCCCCUACGUCAUGAGUGGUGUAGACAGAGGAGGUCACAAACCUGCAUCUGACAUUAACAGCGCUGCUCCCUGAAGAGGGAGGGAAGACACAGCCUUGACUUUAUCCCUCAAUGUGUGCCUUCCCGCCGGGUAAGGGAAGAACCUUCAUAAGAGGCAGUGGGCAUUGCCUCCAGAGCACAGAGUUCAAGGUUCCAGUGUCUAAGUCUGCGUCCCAGCUCUGCCCCUCACCAGACCUCGCCAUCUCAGGUAGCACAGAAACAUGCAGAAGAUCAGAUCACAAAUUGGAUCCCCAAACCUCACUGGUGUUCUAGAUUUUUGUCAUGGAUUUACUCACAGACUCUGUGGAGGGGUCACAUGGCCCAUGACGACAGCAAAACACCCUUAAACCCAACUUCACCCAGCUUCCGCUCCCGUGGUCCAAGUCUUUAGCAACUGCUCCGGGAUCUUUCCUUUCACCUCUGGCUGGCUGCCUUUCUUCAUCCACUACCUCCUCUUUCAUCUUGUCUCCAUGAAGACGAGAUGAAGACAGUUUGGCCAAUCAAGGACUCUGACACAUGUCUCUUACUGUCUCCUGGGUCAGUUCCAGAAAGGAUCUUAGUGAUAAGAAACCACCACGUUUUAGGAAUGGGGAUGGGGGAGAAAGGUUGUCAAUACUUCAAUAGGUUUUGUUCCUGACACAUAAUAUCUAUGUGUACCUCUCGCCACGGUGUCCAUUUUAAAAAUGGGGUCUUAUACCUAAUGUCUUCUGAUUGGCUUAUUUCACUUGAUAACACAUCACAGAUCUUCAGCAGUAUUUAUAAGCCAACCUCAUUGUUUUUAACAACUGUCUCUAUUCUACCAUAUGAACGUGCCAUAACUAAUUUAACCCUUUCUAUACAAAAUGUUUCUUUUCUCUUUUUCUUCACUCUUGCAAAUAAUCUGCAGUGAAAAUCUUCUGUACUUUUCGUUUCUUUGCACACUUAGAAGUUUAUUUGCUGGGUCGAAAAGGAUGUGCGUUUUGACAGCAGAUUAUGGGAGGGGCGAUUGUGAACAUAGCAUGGGAUCUGUCCUGAAUAUUUUUCUUCCUGACCAACCUCCCCACUGGAUUCACAUUGAAUACAGCUUUCAUUUAUAGCUUAGGGGCAGUAAGUAAAAACUGGAAGAGCUAUUUCUCUAAAAAAAAAAAAAAAAAAACUUGGUAAAAUAUUGUGUGCGGCACAAAUAUGACUGCCUUGGGAAUGACAGCUCAAGAGAGGAAUGAGGUAUUUCCCUGUACUGUUCUAUAUAAACCAUUGGCAGCUUUGGUCCACUGGGGGUCCGAGGCCUGGUGGUACUGAGGGAGCUGUGCAGACACAGCGCCACCCAGUGGCUGUCUGGAGAGGAUGGAUUUGUUUGCAGGCACUGGUGCAAAAUCCCUGGGAACUCCUGGAAACGGGUGAGGGACAUUUUACUGGAGGCUGAAGUCCUGCAUGAACAGCAGGGAGAUUAGAGCAAGUGACAUUUGGGUUAUUGUUAAGGUGACUCCAUGUGUAGCCAUAGGCUGGUGCCUGGGGCAACUCAGGUUACUGUUGCUUUUGAGUGAAUUUGCAUUUUAUGUCUCAUACUGUGUCUGCAUAUAUUAGAACAAGAUAGCGGCAAUAUACAGGGAGCAAGUCAAUCUCUGGGCAGUGCUUAUCUGACUUCAGGGACCUCUGCCGUAGCUCUGUGGUCCAUAAGUUGGGAACCACUGAGAUGGGAUAUUGAAAAGCCGAGUGCAAAUGAAAUCAUUAACUCAAUGUCAAGGGGAGCAUGCUCUUUCAAGGAAUCCCGGGGUGGAUUCUCACCAAAGGAACACUCUGUUACUCCUUCUCAAGGUCCUAAAAUGACUCCCUGAUGUAACAAAUCAACUUACCUGCAGUUGUUACCCCUCCCUCCGUUACAAGUCCCUGCCCUGGGAUGCGCCCUGUUUCCCAAGCUCUGAGCAGGCAGGUGCUCUCAUGGCCAUUAGCAAGCAGAUGUUUAUUUCUACUUCUAAAUCUUUGCCUCUGUUUUCCCAUCUCUCUGAAGUGCCAUCUCCGCCCCUUUAGUAAUUUAAAGACUUCCACUCUUCAUGCCCUUCUGAGUCCACUGCUCCAAGUCCUCUGGGCCAACUUGGGCCUGAAGGGACUCUUCCUUUUGUAAGCUACUGAAGCUUGUGUUCUUGGUGUUGUAAAUUUGAUGUGGUCUCCGUUUUGGGCAUGUCACUUGUCUUCUCAGCUAGACGGAAUUCUGACAUCAGUGAGGCUUAAUGUCUUCAUACCUCCUUGAAGGAAGAUGUUAGACACAAAAUAGCAUAUUUAUGUAACUCCCUGCAUGAUGAAAAAAAUUAGAGCCAAAUGGUUUUUUUUCGGAAACCUAGAUCUUCGUAUGUUGGAUCUGCUUUAAGUCGACUUAAAAACUUUCAUUCACUUAUCCAUUCAUCUAGUUAUUUGUACAUAUAAUAUACGAAGUGCCGAAUACGUGUCAGAUGUCAGGCACGUCCUUAUUCAGCAGAGAGUGGAGAAAACACCUUGGUUUUCCGGAACUGUGACAAAUGGGCAGCCCAUGCUCUAUGGAUGGACCCUCGCGACUUGCCACCUUGGCUCUGAAGAUGCCUGUUUCCCCCGUUGUGGUGGUGACCAGCUUAUCCUCUAUGUUCUCACCUGCACCCUAUAGACCUGCGCUGAAUGCUCACAUGAGGCUGGAUGUGGGUCUUGGGUCUAGGAGCAUAGUCUUCCACUUAGAAUGGAGUUGUUCCUGGGAAAAGCAUGGUCUCCUAUGCGGAAAAUCAAGCCGGUUGCUCAUAAAAAUGGAGCUGCUCUUCCUGGAUCAAGGAUUGAGAAGCCAGACCACCUGGAUCACGUGUCCCUAUGCUCCUGGGCCUGGUGCACUGCUCAGGAAACAUGUUGAGUGAGCGAUGGUCAUAUUCUAUUGGAUUCAGCUCUGCUUCCUCUCAUUCUGCGCUGUGUUGACUUUUUCUAUGUGACCUAUGUUUUGCUGGCCUGUGGGUUAAGAGUAGUUAUUGCUCACAGGCCAGUGGGCAACUGUUAAGUGGUAGAAGUUCAGGAGAUCUAAUACCUUGGGGGGAUUUGUACCAAUUACUUAACUGCCCGAAUACCAAGUUCCUGCAUGUGAGCUUUAUAAUAAGAUGAGCCAGGUCUCACAUUUAUCCCAAGAAGACAGGACUUAUCCAAAUCAUCUAUAUUUUAGCAGGCAGUACCAAACUUCAGGCCUCAGAAACACAUUUUAAAUAAUUCUUGCCAUGCCAUAUAUUUUAAGUAUCAUUAAAAAGCCAUUUUCUUUAAAAAAUAUGUGUGCAAUAUAUUUUAUGAAACCUAGAACAAGUCUAUGAAAAAUUGAUUAUUUUUUCCACAGGGAUGUGUUCAGAUGAUUUUCAUUCUGCUCACCAAAUGAAAAAUCCAGCGUGUGUUAUGUCCUUUAUCUUAUUUACUCUCUCUCCUGAGAAUAAUCACCAUGUUCCCAAACAAAGAGAUGGGUUGCCCGGUUUGAGUAACCAAAUAAUUUCCUGUGGUGGGCAAAGGAGUUGCUGCAGAUCUAAACUAGGAAGCGUGCAUUUCCCUUUCAAAUGCCGGAUUUUCCUGCUCUGUGCCUCCCUUCAGUCAGCUCCAGGCUGCUUCCCUGAUGCUAACUUAAGAUCCAGCUAUUACACUGGGAUGAAAAUGGAGAGCUUUGCUCAGCCUCUGAACACACGUUAACAGCACAGGAGGUCCUAGGAUCCUCACAAAUAAGAAUCGUCACAAAAGAAUGAGCCCCGUUUGUUUUUCCAUGUGAAUCAGCAUUUCCAGAGGAUUCCAACAUUUGAAAUGCCAACUGAGGUUAAAAGCAAUGGAGCGCUCUCCUGAUGAAUCCCUGCCUCUGCUCCAGGGUGAAAACAUGAUGGUGUCCAUUGGAUCUCUGCCUUUCUGGCUCUGAGUCAUUCAGUGUUUAUAACCGGAAGAGCAACAGUGGUUCAAAAGCCUGCACACCUCGAGGGUUGGGUCCACUGGAAUUUGUAGAAGACCAGUGCCCCAAUUCCAAUGCCUAAGUGCAUGGAAUUCCAUUGCCUAAGGCACUGUAUUCUGCACUGAUGAAGUGAUGGGAUACGACAGACAUGCUUUCAUGGACCUUAUCCUCCAGUGGGAAGAUGGACAAUAAGGAAAGAGAUUCAUGAGUAGAAUGAUCUUAAAAACACCGAGGUGUGAAACAGAGGCCCUGUUCAAAAGUUGCUUAGGGCCUGGCUACUUGGAGUGUUGUUCUCGACUGGCAGCAUCAGCAUCCCUGGGAGCCUGUUGGAAACGCAGAAUCUCAGGCCACACCCCACACCUGUGGAAUUAAUCUGCUUUUUAAACAAGAUCCCUGUGGUUCAUGAUUUGGAGGCAUCAUAAUGUUUAAGAAGCACUGGCUUAUGCAACAUAGGUAAGAAUGACUAGAGCUGGAACCUGCCCUCAACUAGGUCAGGAGUUUGUUGAUGGAGAUAGAUAAGCAAAUACACGGUGACUCAAUGUGAAAGCUGGAAGCAGGUAGCAGGGGGCUGCAAGAGAGCACAAGAGAGUGAGUGAUGCUUACUGGCACAGGUGGGAUGGGGCAGUGGAGGAAGCUCAAGGAAGCCUCCCCAGAGUGAUGCCACCAAAGCUAUGACAGGGAAGAACUGGUCAAAGGCAUACAGGAGUUUGAAGCGGAGGAAGGUCACACAGAUUUGCAUUUGAAGCACUAAGGGCUUUGUGGGAAGACAGACUGGGGAAGGGUGAAGCAGAACUCAGGAGACCAGGGUGGUAGCCCUUGCAGGCUGUGUUCCAGGUGAGACAAGAAGGCCCUGAAACCUGUGGCUGGAUUCAUCCAGGCUCGGGAAGGCCUAGGAGGAAGAGCUGCUUGAAGGUUUAGGAAAAGACGGUAUGGAGCAGGCCAGCCCUGGAAGUCUUGGAAAGAGCACUGUGUGACCUCUCUUUGCUUGAGUUGACUUUACUGAAUCCUACCAGAAGAACCUGGCAAAUAAAUUUUACUUUGUGUGACAACUACCUCUGGCGAAGGCUUUGAUUUCAACUCACCAAGAAGGGAACCCACUUUAGUUUGGUAACAAAACCAGUUGGAGUCAGUUUGGGUAUAAAAAGAUACGCCAAUCAAGUCUUCUAUAGACGGCCCCUGUUAGCAAAUCAUAUGUACUCCUACAAAGCCAUCCAAGUUGUCCUCACGUCCUAGCAGCAAAACUAAAGACCGAAACAAAGACAAAAGAACUGACCACCCUGAAAAUGCUUAACAACAUGGAUUUCAAGAAACAUGUAAGCUGCGAACUGAGAGUGUCAAAUGAUGAAGAAGCACAAUGGAAGUUCUUGGGAAGAUGAUGGGCUGUCUCCCUAGUCCCUCUAAUUCGUGACUUACUGGGGCAGAGACGGGGGAGGACAGCCUGGGUGCUGCCUGCCACCUUUCUUUACAGGCGGGAGCUGGUGGGAGCACGGCAGCCACAGAGGAGCACAGCGGAGCCGGGAGUGUUCCAGCAAAGCCUCUCAGGGCGAGUCGGUCCGCGUCCUCCAGGCUGCAAUUCGGAGGCCGUAACGGGAAGUCUGUGCUUCUUCCCGCUCCCAAGCCCCGCCUUCCUCUCAAAGACAGAGAAUUAGUUAAAAAAGCAAAUGAAGGAAAUUCCCUAAAGAACCCUACCGGGGAACAACAAAAACAUCCAUUGUAAACAGCAGGAGUUGAGAGGGCUGGAUGAUUUUAAAAACUUGUGUUUGGACCUCGUGGAGUUCUUUUAGUGGGCAGUGGCCCUGAGAGAGACACAGGUGUCAGGAAUGGGAGUGAUUACUGCUGGUGCCUCCAGGAUGGAGCAGUCUCUUCUUGAAGAUUUGCCUUCCCUCCUCCCUCAGCUUUAUUGAGAUAUAAUUGACAAAUAAAAAUUGUAUAUAUUUAAGGUA
Molecule: long non-coding RNA, 8137 nt
Organism: Equus caballus (horse)
Lineage: Eukaryota; Metazoa; Chordata; Mammalia; Perissodactyla; Equidae
Source: Ensembl